This 447-nucleotide ribosomal RNA is filed under the name uncultured bacterium. RNAcentral's name for it is "bacterial SSU rRNA". It matches the Rfam family "Bacterial small subunit ribosomal RNA", at positions 331 to 792 of the family's 1533-position model. The record is from RNAcentral.
CCAGACUCCUACGGGAGGCAGCAGUGGGGGAUAUUGGACAAUGGGGGAAACCCUGAUCCAGCGACGCCGCGUGAGUGAGGAAGUAUUUCGGUAUGUAAAGCUCUAUCAGCAGGGAAGAAAGAAAUGACGGUACCUGAGUAAGAAGCCCCGGCUAACUACGUGCUAGCAGCCGCGGUAAUACGUAGGGGGCAAGCGUUAUCCGGAUUUACUGGGUGUAAAGGGAGCGUAGACGGCAGUGCAAGUCUGGAGUGAAAGGCGGGGGCUCAACCCCCGGACUGCUCUGGAAACUGUAAAGCUGGAGUGCGGGAGGGGCAGGCGGAAUUCCUGGUGUAGCGGUGAAAUGCGUAGAUAUCAGGAGGAACACCAGUGGCGAAGGCGGCUUGCUGGACAGAGACUGACGUUGAGGCUCGAAAGCGUGGGGAGCAAACAGGAUUAGAUACCCUAGUA